Molecule: transfer RNA, 93 nt
Organism: Candida tropicalis MYA-3404
Lineage: Eukaryota; Fungi; Ascomycota; Pichiomycetes; Serinales; Debaryomycetaceae
Rfam family: tRNA
About the family: Transfer RNA (tRNA) molecules are approximately 80 nucleotides in length. Their secondary structure includes four short double-helical elements and three loops (D, anti-codon, and T loops). Further hydrogen bonds mediate the characteristic L-shaped molecular structure. tRNAs have two regions of fundamental functional importance: the anti-codon, which is responsible for specific mRNA codon recognition, and the 3' end, to which the tRNAs corresponding amino acid is attached (by aminoacyl-tRNA synthetases). tRNAs cope with the degeneracy of the genetic code in two manners: having more than one tRNA (with a specific anti-codon) for a particular amino acid; and 'wobble' base-pairing, i.e. permitting non-standard base-pairing at the 3rd anti-codon position.
Source: Rfam
GCUCCUAUGGUCUAGGGGUUAAGACAUUCGAUUGCAAUGGAACAAUUCCUUGCAAUUAUCGAUUGGUCCCCGGUUCAAAUCCGGGUGGGAGCU